GAUCCUGGCUCAGGAUGAACGCUAGCGACAGGCCUAACACAUGCAAGUCGAGGGGCAGCGGGGAGGUAGCAAUACCUUUGCCGGCGACCGGCGCACGGGUGAGUAACACGUAUGCAAUCCACCUGUAACAGGGGGAUAACCCGGAGAAAUCCGGACUAAUACCCCAUGAUAUGGGCUCUCCGCACGGGGGGUCCAUUAAAGAGAGCAAUCUUGGUUACAGACGAGCAUGCGCUCCAUUAGCCAG
RNAcentral lists this ribosomal RNA (244 nucleotides) under uncultured bacterium. RNAcentral's name for it is "partial 16S ribosomal RNA". It matches the Rfam family "Bacterial small subunit ribosomal RNA", at positions 15 to 248 of the family's 1533-position model. The record is from RNAcentral.